GGGGCUGCAUUGGUUUCGACGCGGGUUGGAAUCGUCCCAGGGCAUGCCGAGGUUCAGUCACCUCGUAAAACCGCUGAAAUCAAACUAACUGCAAACGACGAACGUUUCGCUCUCGCCGCUUGACGGCGAGCCUCGCAACAGCACGCUGAUGGGCUGGGCAAGGGUGAGGUAACUCAUCCCGGCUGCGGGGAGUCAUUACAUCGGCUGGCGCGGCGGCGGGUGCCUUGCUGCCGUGCGAGAUUCAAGGGCACUGGCCAGCUCGGCAGCGUGCUCCUGCGCGGCCGGAUUGGCGAGAUCCAAUAUAGGACGCUACGCAUGUAGAACUGGACGGGGAAGAUUUGCGGACGGGGGUUCAACUCCCCCCAGCUCCACCA
This 374-nucleotide transfer-messenger RNA is filed under the name Burkholderiaceae bacterium. It matches the Rfam family "transfer-messenger RNA". Rfam says of the family: Bacterial tmRNA, also known as 10Sa RNA or SsrA, is named for its dual tRNA and mRNA-like properties. Lineage: Bacteria; Pseudomonadati; Pseudomonadota; Betaproteobacteria; Burkholderiales; Burkholderiaceae. The record is from RNAcentral.